AGCAGCCGCGGUAAUUCCAGCUCCAAUAGCGUAUAUUAAAGUUGUUGCAGUUAAAAAGCUCGUAGUUGAAUUUCGGGAUCAAGGAAUCGGUCAUGCCUUGGUAUGUACUGGUUUUAUUGGUUCUCACCUUCUAAAGAAUCAUAAUGUCAUUUAUUUGAUGUUAUGGGGAAUUAGGACUGUUACCUUGAAAAAAUUAGAGUGUUUAAAGCAAGCUUACGCUUGAAUACAUUAGCAUGGAAUAAUGAAAUAGGACAUCAGAUUCUAUUUUGUUGGUUUCUAGGAUCGAUGUAAUGAUUAAUAGGGAUAGUUGGGGGCAUUAGUAUUCAAUUGUCAGAGGUGAAAUUCUUGGAUUUAUUGAAGACUAACUACUGCGAAAGCAUUUGCCAAGGAUGUUUUCAUUAAUCAAGAACGAAAGUUAGGGGAUCGAAGACGAUCAGAUACCGUCGUAGUCUUAACCAUAAACUAUGCCGACUAGGGAUCGGAUGAUGUUAAUUUUUAAUGACUCAUUCGG
This 511-nucleotide ribosomal RNA is filed under the name uncultured Glomus. RNAcentral describes it as "SSU rRNA". It matches the Rfam family "Eukaryotic small subunit ribosomal RNA", at positions 569 to 1083 of the family's 1831-position model. The record is from RNAcentral. Lineage: Eukaryota; Fungi; Glomeromycota; Glomeromycetes; Glomerales; Glomeraceae.